GACGAACGCUGGCGGCGUGCCUAAUACAUGCAAGUAGAACGCUGAAGCUUGGUGCUUGCACCGAGCGGAUGAGUUGCGAACGGGUGAGUAACGCGUAGGUAACCUGCCUGGUAGCGGGGGAUAACUAUUGGAAACGAUAGCUAAUACCGCAUAAGAGUAGAUGUUGCAUGACAUUUGCUUAAAAGGUGCAAUUGCAUCACUACCAGAUGGACCUGCGUUGUAUUAGCUAGUUGGUGAGGUAACGGCUCACCAAGGCAACGAUACAUAGCCGACCUGAGAGGGUGAUCGGCCACACUGGGACUGAGACACGGCCCAGACUCCUACGGGAGGCAGCAGUAGGGAAUCUUCGGCAAUGGACGGAAGUCUGACCGAGCAACGCCGCGUGAGUGAAGAAGGGUUUCGGAUCGUAAAGCUCGGUUGUAAGAGAAGAACGAGUGUGAGAGUGGAAAGUUCACACUGUGACGGUAUCUUACCAGAAAGGGACGGCUAACUACGUG
RNAcentral lists this ribosomal RNA (497 nucleotides) under uncultured bacterium. RNAcentral's name for it is "partial 16S ribosomal RNA". It matches the Rfam family "Bacterial small subunit ribosomal RNA", at positions 28 to 507 of the family's 1533-position model. The record is from RNAcentral.